UGCUCUCAAAGUUCAGCCGCCGAGAAAAAAGAGAGAGGUUUGUGUGGUGCCUCCUUCUAUGGUGGAGAUGACUGAAGAAGAAGAGCAGCUUCGUUUUCACUUUCAGAAUCUUCCCAGGUAUGUUCUUGCUUUUUUUUUUUUUCUUCUUUUGAAAUUAUCCAGAUUUGGGUUCUUAAUUCGAUUCGAUUAUAUGAAGAUACUGGUACCCAACCCUUCACCACUUUUCUCUUCUCUUUUGGCAUUAGAAAAAGCCAUUUAUUAACGGCAGUAUUAAAUUCAAGGUUCAACUUGAACAUGAGUAGUGUUUCAAAGAGGAAAGACAAAUCUGGUGAAUAUAGCCAAGCUAUGGGGAAAUGGCUCUAACUUACUGUGACAGAGUUAGGAAAAUGUGAUUGCAGGACACUAUGCAUAUCCUUUUCAAUAAGAAACUCUAAACUUUACUUUGGUUUUGGUUUUAAUAUGUGAGAUUAGGAAAAAGGCAUGUUAUGACUGAGACGAUUGAGAAUCAUAUCCCAGGAGGUGAAGAAGAACGCAGCAGUACGGCUCUUGUCACUGUACGAUGAGAUAAGGCCAGCCAUUAAAGAGCAUGAAAGAGAUGGCCAAGACUGGCAACAAGUGUGGCGGAGAAAUGGAUACAAGCAAGCUGUAAUAAACAUAGAGUUUGAUCUAUAAUCUAGUGUAAUUAAGAAUUCAUUCUUUAUUUAAUUAAAAAAGUGGGGAAAGUAAUUUAUUUUGAA
Capsella rubella is the source of this 737-nucleotide long non-coding RNA. RefSeq lists it as uncharacterized. The transcript is spliced from 3 exons. The record is from RefSeq and is a predicted model, not a curated record. NCBI's taxonomy places the organism in Eukaryota, Viridiplantae, Streptophyta, Magnoliopsida, Brassicales, Brassicaceae.